UACGUAGGGUGCGAGCGUUGUCCGGAAUUAUUGGGCGUAAAGAGCUCGUAGGCGGUUUGUCACGUCGGCCGUGAAAACUCGGGGCUCAACCCCGAGCCUGCGGUCGAUACGGGCAGACUAGAGUGCUGGAGGGGAGACUGGAAUUCCUGGUGUAGUGGUGAAAUGCGUAGAGAUCGGGAGGAACACCUGUGGCGAAGGCGGCCAGCUGGGCCGGACCUGACGCUGAGACGCGAAGGCGUGGGGAGCGAACGGG
RNAcentral lists this ribosomal RNA (253 nucleotides) under uncultured bacterium. RNAcentral describes it as "partial 16S ribosomal RNA". It matches the Rfam family "Bacterial small subunit ribosomal RNA", at positions 524 to 776 of the family's 1533-position model. The record is from RNAcentral.